AGUGAACGCUGGCGGUAGGCCUAACACAUGCAAGUCGAACGGCAGCACAGUAAGAGCUUGCUCUUACGGGUGGCGAGUGGCGGACGGGUGAGGAAUACAUCGGAAUCUACUUUUUCGUGGGGGAUAACGUAGCGAAACUUACGCUAAUACCGCAUACGACCUACGGGUGAAAGCAGGGGAUCUUCGGACCUUGCGCGAUUGAAUGAGCCGAUGUCGGAUUAGCUAGUUGGCGGGGUAAAGGCCCACCAAGGCGACGAUCCGUAGCUGGUCUGAGAGGAUGAUCAGCCACACUGGAACUGAGACACGGUCCAGACUCCUACGGGAGGCAGCAGUGGGGAAUAUUGGACAAUGGGCGCAAGCCUGACCCAGCCAUACCGCGUGGGUGAAGAAGGCCUUCGGGUUGUAAAGCCCUUUUGUUGGGAAAGAAAAGCAGCAGGUGAAUACCCCGCUGUUCUGACGGUACCCAAAGAAUAAGCACCGGCUAACUUCGUG
This 492-nucleotide ribosomal RNA is filed under the name uncultured bacterium. Its description in RNAcentral is "partial 16S ribosomal RNA". It matches the Rfam family "Bacterial small subunit ribosomal RNA", at positions 29 to 507 of the family's 1533-position model. The record is from RNAcentral.